This 662-nucleotide long non-coding RNA is filed under the name Homo sapiens (human). RNAcentral describes it as "HSALNT0167815". Lineage: Eukaryota; Metazoa; Chordata; Mammalia; Primates; Hominidae. The record is from RNAcentral.
UUACAUGCUGAGUUCCUUCACUGGCAGGGUCCAAGCGACAUUGGGGAUGCCAAUUUACAUUCAGGAAGCACAAAAGUUCACUUGUACAUUUCCUAACAAUGCUAAGGAGUUAUCAAACACAUGUUUCGAAGACUCUGACUUUAUAAGGAGAAGAUGAGACUCGCCUCAGCUCUUUCUCAACUACUGCCCUCCGUUCUCCAGGAUGGCAUUCCCAGCUGAGACCUGCACUGUGAUGGUAUUCAUUCCUUCUGAAGUAAAUCUGAAGGAUAUGCUUCCCUCCAAGAUUUUCCUGCCUGUAACCUUUCACCACCCGAAUCCAUCCUCCAAAUGGCUGCAACAGUAAUUUUUCUAGAAAGCGAAGCUGAUCAUGUUACUCAUACUUGUUCAAAAUUAAGAUUCCCGUGAUUGGGAAUGUGAUGUGGUGUGGUGGCUCAUGCCUGUAAUCCCGACACUUUUGGAGGCCGAGUUGGGUGGAUCAUGAGGUCAAGAGAUCGAAACCAUCCUGGCCAACAUGGUGAAACCCCAUCUCUACUAUAAAUGCAAAAAUUAGCUGGGCAUGGUGGCAUGCACCUGUAGUCCCAGCUACUCAGGAGGCUGAGGCAGGAGAAUUGCUUGAAUCCGGGAAGCAGAGGUUACGGUGAGCCAAGAUCACACCACUGCAC